GACCAGCGCAAGACCUGACUCCCAUGAGGGAGGCACAGCAGCGAUGUAGAAAAGUGCUACGGCUGCCGGGGCCGGGCCCACAUUUCUAUCUCUACCUGUGAAGGACAGGAACAUCAAGAAAAGGCUGCUAGGGGCCUCCCAAGGAUACAAGCUCCUUUCUCCUCCUCCCUGUGGACACCGGAGCGGAUGUCCCCGCACCUGGCUCCGCGGGGCUUCCCCGAACAGCAAUUCCCCACACGCUCACCCACACCUACGCGCAUCGGGCCGAGCCCCGCGUCCCAGUCGAGCGCAGCAGGCCCGUCGUCCCACCGCAGGAUAAGGGCGAGUUCCUUCUCCCGAGAUCCUUCCUACUCCUCCUCCCCAUCGGAUCCUGAAACGGCAGGCCGCCCUUUCGGCCGUCCUCUCUCCCUGCCGCACCGGCCCCGGGAAGAGCGCCCCUCCAGCCCGGCCUCAGCCCGGCCCGUGCGGGACCGGGCGCCAGGCCCGCGCCUCUCCAGGCAAACGGCAACACCACUCCCACAGUGCCCUUACCUGCGGCGGCCGGGUCGGGGCCAGUGCUGCCCCCGGCGCCGUUCCGGCUGUAGCCCCCCUGCCCUGGGCGACAGCAGACUAUCUCUGUGCUUCCCCCGGGGCUGCAGGUAUGUCAUCAGCACCGCGGCUCCCAGGUGAGCCGGGCACACCUACAGGAAGGCAGGCGGGCCGCCCUGAUUGGCGUGCGGGGCUGACAACGGGGCUCGCACCCCCGCUGGCGAGUGUGGGGCUGGGCGUGAGGAGGGUCGUCCUCGUCCUCUUCCUGGCAACAGCAGAGCCAGCGUACUUGCCCCCUGUCGUCUCUGGUUCCAGAAAGACAAGCUGUGGCACUUCCUUUUUUCACAACCUUCUUCAUUACCCGAGUCUCUCUUCCUGCUGCUUAAGGGCUCUUCAAGUUUAAGAAGAAAGUUCUUCCUGCAGACCAGCUGGAUGAGGGACCUCCAAACUUGGCCUCCUGGGAUGGAGAGGGACAUUUUUGCUAGCAGGCCUAUUGGUAGGCCAGAUAUCCUGAGGUUCAUUGCGAGCCCUAGAAAUAAAUGACUGCAAGUGAAAGGUGAGAUACAAAGGCACAAUGCUGCAGGUUGUUUUGUGCUAGCCAAAGCUGUUCAGGCAGUAGGACCUCAGCGAAAUCCCGCAUAGAAAGCAAAACUGAAAGGAGAAGCAGGCUGCAAUUGAGAAGCUUACUAAAUAGCCCUGUGGUUCAAUCCUAUUGCUGUGUAGCAGCUGGGUGCAGAAAGAAUUGCACAUACACCCAGGCAGGCAGCUGCAGCACCUUAGCAUGUGCAGCCAGGGGAGGAGGAUGACAUCCAGACUCCUUCCCCUGUGCUGCCUUAGUCCCAUCCUGCAUAUUCCUGCUACUCCCAGCAGUGCUGCUUCCUACCUAAGAUCCACUUGUGAUGUUGUCCAUCUAAGUAUUGUUUCCUGUGGUAUAGGUCAGUGCUGCUUAUGACUCAGACCAGCCCUUCAGUUUCUUUGCCUCUGUUGGAUAGACACAAAAUGCAUCCCACAAACAAAUUAAUCUGUCUCAUGCACGUAUAUAGAUGAUUCCCAGUUAAUUAGAAAACUGCACACUAGCAUCCUUGUCCUAAAUUAAGAGAAUCUUGAAUGGCUGUAGUAUCAGGUACUUAAAGCUACAGAAAUUCUCCCUGCCACCUGGCUUUUUUUUGUUUUGUUCUGUUUUGUUGUGCAUAUCAUUAUGCAUAACAAGGCAGUUAUUUAUGACAUAAGCACAUACAUUUUCAUAAGUUCGGCUUUUGCAGAGGUGGACAAAGCUGAAAAAUGUUCCUCCCCAGUGUCCUUGCAUGAGAGGUAUCCUUGAGGUGCUCCCUCAGCUUCUGUAUAUAAUAACACGCUGCCCUGUAUUGGGAAGGUGUUGCCUCCUCCCUGCAGCCAGGAGAGGUAAUGUUAACACAAAUAUACUUUUACACGUGUUCCUGUAUGUUGGUGAAGUGGCUUUGGAAAUUUGUCCUUCAUGAGCCCUGCAGAUACACUGGGUUACUAUUAAGGCUUUCUGUGAGAGUGCCAACACCUACCAUUUUCUUAUAGUUUCAACUUUUUAAAAACAAAACCUCUGAGAUUCUAGCCCCAGAAGAGGGCAAGAGCUGCUUGUUCAUUUUGGUGCACAAGAGUCAUAUUGCCUCAUGCCAGCAGUGUGAGAAACACUCAAAAUCAAUUAUUUCUGAUCAGAUGCAGAUCUUCGUGAGGUGGCCAAGUUUAUUCGUUACUGCAUUAGCGGGCGCACGCCACCUUGUGGUAAGGAAGAAAUUGUGAGCUUAAUCAGUGAAAUUACACUAUUUUAUACCCUUUCUACUAAGUAUGUGACAUCUCUCCUGUUGCUCAUUGGCUAAGCAUCUCAGACGCACAACCUACUAGACACAGUUGCUAAGGUAUGUUUCCAUAUAAGGUUUAUCACUCACCUGUCGUUUUUCAUUUUUCAAAGCAUCGGGUACUGCAUAUGUUUCAAGACACCCAGUGGUUGCUUCCACCAUGGUAAGCACAUAAAGCUUACCAUUGCGAGAUUGUGCCAAGAUGAUAUAAUCAACCUGCCACACCUCUCCAUAUUUACGCUUUUGCCAUUGCCCUUCCCCCCAGAGAGGUUUCGUCCUCUUGGCUUGUUUAAUUGCAUCACAAGUUUCACAGUGUAUACUAGGCUCUUGCUAUCCUGCCUAUCCUCCAUAGGUAGUAUCAGUGUUUACCCACCUGGUCAGAAUGUUCUGAAAAACAGAAUAACUGGCAGACUCAUUCUAGCUUAUAUUAAGCUCUGCCUCAACAUCUCAUUGUGAACAACAACCCGUGCAUCCAUUUUGUAAGAAAGUUUAGUAAAGGCCUAUACCUUAGUGCUAGAAGUUUUUUCUACUGCAAAACCUCAAUCUACCUCUCACAAUCAACGAGGUGUGUGGGGCUGCAACUAGAUGCUUGCUCUGUCUGUGGACAGGGAAUCAGCCCUAGUCUAAGGAAGCUGUCCUUAAGAGGGAUUGUUGGGGACAGGAAGCAAAUCCUAUAAGCAAAUUUUUGACAACAAGAAGAGAAACCAUUCUCCCUUGGGCUUUGCCUCUUCCACCACUCACCUAGCAAAUCAGGCCAAAGUAUAUGUUAUUCUUAUCCUAAGAAUCUGCGCAGUACUGGCCAGCAUAACACAGCUUGAUAGGACCUACCUUGAGAGCACAGUGCUGAUUGCAGACUUCCACAGGAGUUGCUCUAACCCGACUCUUAGGCAGUUUUGAUCCUUAAUAUCAGUGGCCUUUUUUAGUCCUUGAAAAUACAGAUUCUUUUCUGACCCAUGGUGGCACAAGACCAAAAUGCAUCUAGGCUGUCCAUGAUACCUCUCUGAAAGGCCCUAAUUAAAAUAAUAAUAAUAAUAAUCUUUUAAUAGCCCCCACAUUUAGUAGUAGAAAAGUGAGCACGUGUUUCUGAAAUCACCUUCACAGGAGUGGCCUACUGUCCUCAAAAUUGCCAUGAACAACGGGUAGAAGCAAGCUCAGGCACACAUCAUCUCCUGUAGGAUCUAUUCCUGGCCCAGGCCACAGAUAUCCGCCUCAAACUCCGCCUGGCAGUCAGUCCCUUGCAGGGAGUAAGAUGUGCAGCUCCAUAGUAUUACCAAAUCUCCCAAGGACCAGUGUUUUGACAGUCUCAAUGGAAGGGUGGGGGAGAAGUCCUUCAGUCCCACUAGGUAAAUAUAUUGUUCUAGGCCAUCACAGUUCCAGCAAUAGAACUACCAAAGGUGAUGCUGUGAUACAGAAACAGUAUACUAACUCCACUGUAUUCUUUUGUCUUUCUGUAGUCCAACACUGUAUAUCAGCAGGGGAUUCUUAAUGCCUCACACCCCUGUCACGGAGUUAUCUAGAUCAAUGUAGAUAAAUCUAUGCCCGUGACAGAGGGGCAGUAGGCCAUUGCUGUUCCUCCCAGAGAGUUUUCGUCCUCUCGCCUUGUUUAAUAAUGGCACAUUUCACAGUCAUGAAUAACUUGUGCUAUAGCGUACAUAGUUAAGUCCACCCCUCAGUCUCUAGCCCACUUAUAUGUUGCAUCUCUUCCUUGAUGGCCCGAGGUCUCAUGGGCCCACUGAGCUAGAAAUAAUUCACCCUUUUGUUGCCAGUCC
Gallus gallus (chicken) is the source of this 4126-nucleotide RNA transcript. RefSeq lists it as uncharacterized. The transcript is spliced from 4 exons. The record is from RefSeq and is a predicted model, not a curated record. Lineage: Eukaryota; Metazoa; Chordata; Aves; Galliformes; Phasianidae.